Molecule: ribosomal RNA, 497 nt
Filed under: uncultured bacterium
Lineage: Bacteria
Description: partial 16S ribosomal RNA
Rfam family: Bacterial small subunit ribosomal RNA
Source: RNAcentral
GACGAACGCUGGCGGCGUGCCUAAUACAUGCAAGUAGAACGCUGAAGGAAGGAGCUUGCUCUUUCUGGAUGAGUUGCGAACGGGUGAGUAACGCGUAGGUAACCUGCCUGGUAGCGGGGGAUAACUAUUGGAAACGAUAGCUAAUACCGCAUAAAAUUGAUUAUUGCAUGAUAGUCAAUUAAAAGGUGCAACUGCACCACUACCAGAUGGACCUGCGUUGUAUUAGCUAGUUGGUGGGGUAACGGCACACCAAGGCGACGAUACAUAGCCGACCUGAGAGGGUGAUCGGCCACACUGGGACUGAGACACGGCCCAGACUCCUACGGGAGGCAGCAGUAGGGAAUCUUCGGCAAUGGACGGAAGUCUGACCGAGCAACGCCGCGUGAGUGAAGAAGGUUUUCGGAUCGUAAAGCUCUGUUGUAAGAGAAGAACGAGUGUGAGAGUGGAAAGUUCACACUGUGACGGUAUCUUACCAGAAAGGGACGGCUAACUACGUG